This 380-nucleotide unclassified non-coding RNA is filed under the name uncultured bacterium. RNAcentral's name for it is "contains 16S-23S intergenic spacer region". The record is from RNAcentral.
UCCGGCUUAUCACCGGCAGUCCCCCUAGAGUGCCCAACUAAAUGAUGGCAACUAAGGGCGAGGGUUGCGCUCGUUGCGGGACUUAACCCAACAUCUCACGACACGAGCUGACGACAGCCAUGCAGCACCUGGACAUCCAGUUCCCUUGCGGGCACAUCCUCAUCUCUGAGGACUUCUGGAGGGUUCCAACCCAGGUAAGGUUCUUCGCGUUGCGUCGAAUUGAACCACAUGCUCCACCGCUUGUGCGGGCCCCCGUCAAUUCCUUUGAGUUUCAACCUUGUGGUCGUACUCCCCAGGCGGGGUACUUCCUGCGUUAGCGCCGGCACCCAGAGGGUCGCUCCCCCAGGCACCUAGUACCCAUCGUUUACGGCGUGGACUAC